GUCGGCUAUGGUGAAACGGUGCCUCAAACCGUGCUCGGCAAGCUGGUGGGGUCUCUCUGCGCCAUCACGGGUGUGCUAACAAUUGCCCUUCCCGUUCCCGUAAUCGUGUCGAAU
This is a regulatory RNA element of Folsomia candida, 114 nucleotides long. It matches the Rfam family "Potassium channel RNA editing signal". From Rfam's summary of the family: This family represents a group of sequences related to the human potassium channel Kv1.1 hairpin element which directs the efficient modification of an adenosine to inosine by an adenosine deaminase acting on RNA (ADAR). The ADAR modification causes an isoleucine/valine recoding event which lies in the ion-conducting pore of the potassium channel. NCBI's taxonomy places the organism in Eukaryota, Metazoa, Arthropoda, Collembola, Entomobryomorpha, Isotomidae. The record is from Rfam.